RNAcentral lists this non-coding RNA (115 nucleotides) under Chloropicon mariensis. Lineage: Eukaryota; Viridiplantae; Chlorophyta; Chloropicophyceae; Chloropicales; Chloropicaceae. The record is from RNAcentral.
AGUCCAAGCUCGUUGGCUUGAAAGGCGUGGUGAAGAAGGCUGUUGGGCUGGGAGGCUGGCACUGGCUGGUGCUCAGUGAUGGGUCCCACGUGAGGCUUCAGAGGAAUGCUUUGAC